GUACGCUGUGAGUGAGGCGGGACAUUGGGUGUGGAGGAAAGUAGGAUGCGCUGGACCUGAGGUAGAGAGUACUGUACUACCGCUGAAAGUUGGUGUGAUGGAAUGACACAGACGGAAAAGCUUAGUACACGUUGGGUUAUGUGUGUACAGGAAUUUAGGCAGGCAAAGUAGGCAACUCCGAUUUGAUAAUGCCGUGAUGAGACGGGGACCGAAAUGUAGUAGAACAGUAGCUGAUUUGACACAGUCAACAUUAGUCUCUAUCGAGGUUAAAGGUACCCGUACCGUAAACCGACACAGGUGGGUGAGGAGAGUAUCCUAAGGCCAGCGAGAGCACUGUUGUUAAGGAACUCGGCAAAAUGACACCGUAACUUAGGGAUAAGGGGUGCCACCAUCCGGUGGCCGCAGAGAAUAGGCCCAAGCGACUGUUGACCAAAAACAUAGG
Molecule: ribosomal RNA, 442 nt
Filed under: Clostridioides difficile
Lineage: Bacteria; Bacillati; Bacillota; Clostridia; Peptostreptococcales; Peptostreptococcaceae
Description: bacterial LSU rRNA
Rfam family: Bacterial large subunit ribosomal RNA
Source: RNAcentral